GCGGGAGUGGCCGAGUCUGGCCAAAGGCGGCGGACUUAAGAUCCGCUCUCUCAGGAGUUCGUGGGUUCGAAUCCUACCUCCCGCA
RNAcentral lists this transfer RNA (85 nucleotides) under Halomarina oriensis. It matches the Rfam family "tRNA". Rfam says of the family: Transfer RNA (tRNA) molecules are approximately 80 nucleotides in length. Their secondary structure includes four short double-helical elements and three loops (D, anti-codon, and T loops). Lineage: Archaea; Methanobacteriati; Methanobacteriota; Halobacteria; Halobacteriales; Natronomonadaceae. The record is from Rfam by way of RNAcentral.